CAUGGUUUACGUGUUUUAACUAUUAAAUGAAAUAGAGUAAUUUAUUUAUUUCUUCUCCUUACUCAAAAAGUCAAAAUUAAUAAAAAGUGCAAACCUUGACUGUAUUGAACUACUAUAUAUAAAAUUGGCUCCAUAUUAGGAUUAUUCUAGAUUAAAAUUAAGCGAGAUCUGCUACAAAACUUAUUUCUUUUAAUAAACAAUUAGCUAAUAAAAUUUUAAAUGUAUAAAAUUAAGGGUUUAGUUGAUAUUGUAUAGAGAAAUUGGGAAAUUUAGAAAAUAAAUAUAUUAUGUUAUUAUUAGGGAAAAAAACUUAGUUGUUCUAUACUAAUCAGUUUUAUUAUCUACUUUUGCUUUAUAGAGGAGGCAGAAUAUAUUCACAAGCUCAGAAAACUUUUCAAGGUUGCCUAUCGUCUUCGAGAACUCAAACCUGGGGAGGCUGUUUUGGAUUGGCCUACGAGAAAAAAGUGGCUCUGGGAACAGCCCGAGGCCUAGAAUAUCUUCAUGAGCAAUGCAAUCCUAAGUUUAUUCAUCGGGAUGUGAAGGCAGCUAAUGUAUUACUGGAUGUGAAGGCAGCUAAUGUCACUUCUGUAGCUAUAUGUCACUAGUUAUUGUUUGAUUUAUCUUGUAAUAAAAAUUGCAUACUUUAUUUAUAGGUUUAGUAAUAAAAAAAGGAUUAAAAAUUUA
Non-coding RNA from Arachis ipaensis, 684 nucleotides. The record is from RefSeq and is a predicted model, not a curated record. Lineage: Eukaryota; Viridiplantae; Streptophyta; Magnoliopsida; Fabales; Fabaceae.